AUGAAUCCAAACAGGAUAUCAACUCUUGAAUUGUCUAUCCGCGCUUAUGUAGAGAUGAGGGAUGGACCUAUUGUGUACCCAAGCAUUGGGACCAGUUUUGACUCAUCGGAUGAAGCUUAUGAAUUAUAUAACCUUUAUUCGUGGGAGUGCGGUUUCGGUGUUAGACUUGCCAAGAGUAGAUUGAAUGUUGAAAGGAAGAGAUGCAUGCAAGAGAUUGUGUGCGCUUGUGUGGGGAAACCAUUGAGGGAAAACAACCGCUCGGCCAGGUGUGGAUGCAAUGCCAUGAUCAGGCUACUGCGGUUGAAUGACAAGGGCUGGUAUAUAGCAGAACACAAGGAUGAUCAUAACAACCCGUUGACAUUGACGUGUGGCCAGAAAAUGCAUUGGAAGUCACAUAAGCAUAUAGACAGAUACACAAAAGAUCUAGUGAAACAACUGAGAGACAACAAUGUGGGCUUGGGAAAGUUUUCAGCAUUGUUGGCAGUUUUUUCGGGACGGUUGAUAAAGUGA
This 510-nucleotide ribosomal RNA is filed under the name Triticum aestivum (bread wheat). RNAcentral describes it as "partial small subunit ribosomal RNA". Lineage: Eukaryota; Viridiplantae; Streptophyta; Magnoliopsida; Poales; Poaceae. The record is from RNAcentral.